GAUGAACGCUGGCGGCGUGCCUAAUACAUGCAAGUCGAGCGAACAGACGAGGAGCUUGCUCCUCUGACGUUAGCGGCGGACGGGUGAGUAACACGUGGAUAACCUACCUAUAAGACUGGGAUAACUUCGGGAAACCGGAGCUAAUACCGGAUAAUAUAUUGAACCGCAUGGUUCAAUAGUGAAAGACGGUUUUGCUGUCACUUAUAGAUGGAUCCGCGCCGCAUUAGCUAGUUGGUAAGGUAACGGCUUACCUAGGCAACGAUGCGUAGCCGACCUGAGAGGGUGAUCGGCCACACUGGAACUGAGACACGGUCCAGGCUCCUACGGGAGGCAGCAGUAGGGAAUCUUCCGCAAUGGGCGAAAGCUUGACGGAGCAACGCCGCGUGAGUGAUGAAGGUCUUCGGAUCGUAAAACUCUGUUAUUAGGGAAGAACAAAUGUGUAAGUAACUAUGCACGUCUUGACGGUACCUAAUCAGAAAGCCACGGCUAACUACGUG
This 497-nucleotide ribosomal RNA is filed under the name uncultured bacterium. Its description in RNAcentral is "partial 16S ribosomal RNA". It matches the Rfam family "Bacterial small subunit ribosomal RNA", at positions 28 to 507 of the family's 1533-position model. The record is from RNAcentral.